AGAAGCGACGCUAAGAGAUGACGUCUUCUUGAAUGUACUCAGCUGUUCAUCACAUUUUAUUGAUUUACUUCGAAAGUAUGCGCCUCUACCGGUCACAUCCGGAGUUCUUAGAUGAGAAAUUUUAGUCGCACAAUAAACAACGUAUCAUCACACUGAAAAUGGUAAAGCAACAACAACAUCAACGAGGAAAAUGCAACAAUGGAUGCCCCCAACUUGUUGGAAACGCUGGCAAAAUUUCCAAGGUUGGUCGACUUCACCCAAUUAAAACGAUCAAAAAGUAUCGAGAAUUUCUUGAAGCUGCAGAACACGAAAGAAAUUUAAAGAUUCAGCGAACGAAGAAUAAAACGAUUGAAAGUUGCGUGUAAUUGAAUUCGUUGUUUCAUCAAUAUAUUGAGGGGAGGCUAAAUUCACGAAGAGGGACCAAAUUUCCUAGGAAUUAUGAACCAGGGCCAGCAAAUGUCAAGGAGAAUGUUAUGCUUCAAUGAAACGAAGAAUUUGAAGAAUUUUCGCUUCAGGAAUAUCGACACUUGCCUCCGUGGAUAGCGUGUAGUCCUCGACAUGCAAGUCGCAAAGUUCACGCCAAUUCAGUUCAGUUUAUAUCAUACAUUGCAUCAAUUAACAAAUUAGAAAAUAAUAAUAGUUUGACCUUGACUGAAUGUUCACCCGUGAUAUAACGUCUGAUACGUUUCGUAUUUCGUAUCCCGAGUGGUUGAGAUAGUUAAAUAUAUAGAAUCUGCACUAUAACGUGCUGAUAUA
Molecule: long non-coding RNA, 756 nt
Filed under: Dendronephthya gigantea
Lineage: Eukaryota; Metazoa; Cnidaria; Anthozoa; Malacalcyonacea; Nephtheidae
Description: uncharacterized LOC114534404, transcript variant X1
Source: RNAcentral